GGGACAGCGGACCGGUGCUCACGGGUCUCCUCCCGGCUCGGCGAAGCGGUGGUGAACGCAACGGUGGACAUGACGGCGAAGGUGGAGAACAGGGAUUUCACAGCCGACCUCAACAACAAGUCCUCCAAGGCUUUCCAGGACUUCGAGAGGGAAUUCAAGCAGCAGAUGGCCGAGCUUUACCAGAGCAUAACGAGCUACCGAGGUGUGGAGAUCCACAGCCUGAGGAAUGGCAGCGUCAUCGUCAACUACACGGUCCUCCUGGAGGUGCCUGCCACCGCCACGGCCAACAGCACCGUCCAGGGCAUCUCCGCGGAGCUGGUCACCAUCGUCAACAGCUACCUCAACUGCUGCCAGAGCAACCCCGCCUGCGGGUUGUGCUUCAACGCCAGCUUCACCGAGGUCACCAGCGCCAAGGCUGACAGCGUUGACGAGGGUGAGUGACCUCCCGCUCGCGAGUCCCCCAGCCCGGGGGAGCCGGA
RNAcentral lists this long non-coding RNA (479 nucleotides) under Dromaius novaehollandiae (emu). RNAcentral describes it as "lncRNA (ENSDNVG00000005500.1)". The record is from RNAcentral. Lineage: Eukaryota; Metazoa; Chordata; Aves; Casuariiformes; Dromaiidae.